UAGGAGGAAGCAUUGUGCAUA
Caenorhabditis elegans is the source of this 21-nucleotide non-coding RNA. The record is from Ensembl. Lineage: Eukaryota; Metazoa; Nematoda; Chromadorea; Rhabditida; Rhabditidae.